Molecule: ribosomal RNA, 1017 nt
Filed under: uncultured bacterium
Lineage: Bacteria
Description: bacterial SSU rRNA
Rfam family: Bacterial small subunit ribosomal RNA
Source: RNAcentral
UGAGGAAUAUUGGUCAAUGGGCGCAGGCCUGAACCAGCCAAGUAGCGUGAAGGAUGACUGCCCUAUGGGUUGUAAACUUCUUUUAUAAAGGAAUAAAGUCGGGUAUGUAUACCCGUUUGCAUGUACUUUAUGAAUAAGGAUCGGCUAACUCCGUGCCAGCAGCCGCGGUAAUACGGAGGAUCCGAGCGUUAUCCGGAUUUAUUGGGUUUAAAGGGAGCGUAGAUGGAUGUUUAAGUCAGUUGUGAAAGUUUGCGGCUCAACCGUAAAAUUGCAGUUGAUACUGGAUAUCUUGAGUGCAGUUGAGGCAGGCGGAAUUCGUGGUGUAGCGGUGAAAUGCUUAGAUAUCACGAAGAACUCCGAUUGCGAAGGCAGCCUGCUAAGCUGCAACUGACAUUGAGGCUCGAAAGUGUGGGUAUCAAACAGGAUUAGAUACCCUGGUAGUCCACACGGUAAACGAUGAAUACUCGCUGUUUGCGAUAUACAGUAAGCGGCCAAGCGAAAGCAUUAAGUAUUCCACCUGGGGAGUACGCCGGCAACGGUGAAACUCAAAGGAAUUGACGGGGGCCCGCACAAGCGGAGGAACAUGUGGUUUAAUUCGAUGAUACGCGAGGAACCUUACCCGGGCUUAAAUUGCAAAUGAAUUACGGUGAAAGCCGUAAGCCGCAAGGCAUCUGUGAAGGUGCUGCAUGGUUGUCGUCAGCUCGUGCCGUGAGGUGUCGGCUUAAGUGCCAUAACGAGCGCAACCCUUGUUGUCAGUUACUAACAGGUUUUGCUGAGGACUCUGACAAGACUGCCAUCGUAAGAUGUGAGGAAGGUGGGGAUGACGUCAAAUCAGCACGGCCCUUACGUCCGGGGCUACACACGUGUUACAAUGGGGGGUACAGAAGGCCGCUACCUGGUGACAGGAUGCCAAUCCCAAAAACCUCUCUCAGUUCGGAUCGAAGUCUGCAACCCGACUUCGUGAAGCUGGAUUCGCUAGUAAUCGCGCAUCAGCCAUGGCGCGGUGAAUACGUUCCC